GUCUUUGUGGAGUAAAGUAACUCCCUCCCUUCUAAAGAUAUGUUCUUUAUUUCAACGGGGGAGAGUCGGUGGUUCGAAUCCACCCGAAGACA
Mycena galericulata is the source of this 92-nucleotide non-coding RNA. NCBI's taxonomy places the organism in Eukaryota, Fungi, Basidiomycota, Agaricomycetes, Agaricales, Mycenaceae. The record is from the annotation of a GenBank genome assembly.